RNAcentral lists this ribosomal RNA (463 nucleotides) under uncultured bacterium. RNAcentral's name for it is "partial 16S ribosomal RNA". It matches the Rfam family "Bacterial small subunit ribosomal RNA", at positions 28 to 507 of the family's 1533-position model. The record is from RNAcentral.
GACGAACGCUGGCGGCGUGCUUAACACAUGCAAGUCGAACGGUGAACCUCUUCGGAGGGGAUCAGUGGCGAACGGGUGAGUAACACGUGGGCAACCUGCCCCCGGCUCUGGGAUAACUCCAAGAAAUUGGGGCUAAUACCGGAUGUUCACCGCUUCCCGCAUGGGUGGUGGUGGAAAGGGUUUCCGGCUGGGGAUGGGCCCGCGGCCUAUCAGCUUGUUGGUGGGGUAGUGGCCUACCAAGGCGACGACGGGUAGCCGGCCUGAGAGGGUGACCGGCCACAGGGGGACUGAGACCGGGCCGGGACCCCUAGGGGGGCCGGGGGGGGGGAAUAUGGGGAAGGGGGGGGAGGCCGGACGCAGCGACCCGGGGGGGGGGAGGACGGCCUUGGGUUUGAAAACCUCUUCCAGCGGGGACGAAGCGAAAGUGACGGUACCUGAAGAAGAAGCCCGGCCAAACUACGUC